CUCGUGAUGUUAGGCAUGUUUUACACACGCGAAAUUGAUUGAGUGGGUGAUAGAUCUCCCGGACGAUCCAUGGAAGAAGUCUCGAGAAAACUAGAGCAACAAAGGGUGGGUAAAUCAAAUUAGCAGCAGGCUAAUGAUGAUGCACGCGCGCGCACACACAUGCACAAUCUUUAGGCAGACGGUGCUGCAGAAAGCAAUAAUACUCAAAGUACCGGAAGCCAAAGAUGCUAAUCUGGAAGUACAUUAGAGUCUUAAUAAAAUGCCUGAAGGAGGAUAUUUCUUCUCUGUCAGAACAACAUAGUUUGGGAAAGCAAUCAAGUGAUUCUUCUCACACAUGCCCUUGCUAUUUAAGAUGGUGAGGCAGUCACAGCGAUUGAAUUCUAGGGAAAAGCCAAGAUUAUCGACAAAAGUCAAGUGAUUGCAUUAUCAUAACCUGAAGGCCAGGAUAAUUGGCGGUCACAGUGCCAUAUGGUAUGUCAGUUUAUGUCUGAUCUUAUUGUUAGUACUGGAAUACACCGACAAACAGCAGCUAGUUCUGACCCCCUCCCCUUUUUGUAUGGAAAGCUGUAGAAAGGUUAUUGGCUUACUACAUAGGAACUGUAUUUGUUGACCAGAUGUUUUUGUCGGUAUGGUUCACUCAGCUCCCGCCUCGCAUCCUUUUUCUUUUCAGUUCUUAAGAUAUUUUUGCUAGUGUUUUGACUAUAACAGAACCAUGAUGCACUUGCAGCAUAACAGUGUCACUGGAACAAGAUCCGGCAUCGACGUACAAUACUUUGCCGAUGUGGAACUCUGGAGAAUUGGCCGGGUCUUUCUGUUUUUCAGGAGUAAGUUUAUGCUGGUUUGCAAGACAUUCGACACAACCUGGUAGCCAGUGCAGGGUCUACAGUCUCCAUAAUUGACAUGGAAAACAAUGUCUGCGGUAAUAAUCAGUUCUAGUCAUCCAUGUUUCUCACCCGGGCCAUAGAAUCAGAAACCCGUUAUUUUUCACCUGUAUGGUCGAUCUAUGGAAAUCACACAACCAGUUACUGUCACCAGGCAUGUCGGCGAAAGCCCAGACUUCUUGCAAGGACUUGCACUGUUUAACUACUUGGUCAUAAGUGAUGCACAUAAUUGAUCGUGCUGAAUAUGAUAAAUUUUUUUGACGGAUGAGGAUGAUAAUGUGAUUGAUGUUAAUUAUACUUAGGAACUGUCUUAUUGCAUGCUGAUGUGUCAAUCCGAGAAUGUUUUUUUUUCUUGUGAAAUAACACCAGACUUAUUUGCAUAGCUAUAGAUUCUUUUUUGUGAAC
RNAcentral lists this long non-coding RNA (1286 nucleotides) under Triticum aestivum (bread wheat). RNAcentral's name for it is "long non-coding RNA (TAES_LNC023167)". The record is from RNAcentral. Lineage: Eukaryota; Viridiplantae; Streptophyta; Magnoliopsida; Poales; Poaceae.